CUGUGGGUGAGCUCCCAGUAUUACAAAUUCGAUUUUCAUUGAUUUCACACAAAGUUCACAGAGUUCUGUCUACUAAAUUACCAAAAAAGAAAACAUUCAUAUUGGCUGCUGACAUUAGUUCACUGGAAGAAGAUAAAGUGGUCAUAGGUUAAAUUUUUCUAAGUAACCUUCCUGUCUGCCUACCUGCGCGUCACCGGAGUCUUCCACAAGCUUCUAGCUUGACAUCUAUCCCACCAAUCGGCAGGACAGCGCAGAUCGACGGACAGGAAAGAAAGGAUAUUGACUUGUCUUUGAGAGAACUUCCUCAACUGAGAGCCGGGUCAGCCAAGUGUACUUGUUGGAUUUUCUCUGAAACCUCAGUUGAAGUCACUCAAUCAACCUUACCUCACAUACACAAAAGUGCCAAUUCAAG
This is a long non-coding RNA of Sebastes umbrosus (honeycomb rockfish), 412 nucleotides long. RefSeq lists it as uncharacterized. The transcript is spliced from 5 exons. The record is from RefSeq and is a predicted model, not a curated record. NCBI's taxonomy places the organism in Eukaryota, Metazoa, Chordata, Actinopteri, Perciformes, Sebastidae.